GGAGCGGUAGUUCAGUUGGUUAGAAUACCGGCCUGUCACGCCGGGGGUCGCGGGUUCGAGUCCCGUCCCGCUCCGCCA
RNAcentral lists this transfer RNA (78 nucleotides) under Vibrio parahaemolyticus K5030. RNAcentral's name for it is "tRNA-Asp". It matches the Rfam family "tRNA". Rfam says of the family: Transfer RNA (tRNA) molecules are approximately 80 nucleotides in length. Their secondary structure includes four short double-helical elements and three loops (D, anti-codon, and T loops). Lineage: Bacteria; Pseudomonadati; Pseudomonadota; Gammaproteobacteria; Vibrionales; Vibrionaceae. The record is from RNAcentral.